AUUGAACGCUGGCGGCAGGCCUAACACAUGCAAGUCGAACGAGUGGCGGACGGGUGAGUAAUGUCUGGGAAACUGCCUGAUGGAGGGGGAUAACUACUGGAAAAGGUAGCUAAUACCGCAUACCCUCAGAUGUGCCCAGAUGGGCUUUGCUGGUUGGUGGGGGAACGGCUCACCAAGGCGACGAUCCCUAACUGGUAUGAGAGGAUGACCAGCCACACUGGAACUGAGACACGGUCCAGACUCCUACGGGAGGCAGCAGUGGGGAAUAUUGGACAAUGGGCGAAAGCCUGAUGCAGCCAUGCCGCGUGUAUGAUGAAGGCCUUCGGGUUGUAAAGUACUUUCAGCGGGGAGGCGGUACCCGCAGAAGAAGCACCGGCUAACUCCGUGCCAGCAGCCGCGGUAAUAC
RNAcentral lists this ribosomal RNA (406 nucleotides) under uncultured bacterium. RNAcentral describes it as "partial 16S ribosomal RNA". It matches the Rfam family "Bacterial small subunit ribosomal RNA", at positions 30 to 526 of the family's 1533-position model. The record is from RNAcentral.